Molecule: ribosomal RNA, 425 nt
Filed under: uncultured bacterium
Lineage: Bacteria
Description: partial 16S ribosomal RNA
Rfam family: Bacterial small subunit ribosomal RNA
Source: RNAcentral
GUGGGGAAUAUUGGACAAUGGGCGCAAGCCUGAUCCAGCCAUGCCGCGUGAGUGAUGAAGGCCUUAGGGUUGUAAAGCUCUUUUGUCCGGGAAGAUAAUGACUGUACCGGAAGAAUAAGCCCCGGCUAACUUCGUGCCAGCAGCCGCGGUAAUACGAAGGGGGCUAGCGUUGUUCGGAAUCACUGGGCGUAAAGCGCACGUAGGCGGACCAUUAAGUCAGGGGUGAAAGCCUGGAGCUCAACUCCAGAACUGCCUUUGAUACUGAUGGUCUCGAGUAUGGAAGAGGUUGGUGGAACUGCGAGUGUAGAGGUGAAAUUCGUAGAUAUCCGCAAGAACACCGGUGGCGAAGGCGGCCAACUGGUCCAUUACUGACGCUGAGGUGCGAAAGCGUGGGGAGCAAACAGGAUUAGAAACCCUGGUAGUCC